ACUCCUACGGGAGGCAGCAGUGGGGAAUAUUGCACAAUGGGCGCAAGCCUGAUGCAGCCAUGCCGCGUGUAUGAAGAAGGCCUUCGGGUUGUAAAGUACUUUCAGCAGUGAGGAAGGUGGGUAUGUUAAUAGCAUACUCAUUUGACGUUAGCUGCAGAAGAAGCACCGGCUAACUCCGUGCCAGCAGCCGCGGUAAUACGGAGGGUGCGAGCGUUAAUCGGAAUUACUGGGCGUAAAGCGCAUGCAGGUGGUUUGUUAAGUCAGAUGUGAAAGCCCGGGGCUCAACCUCGGAAUUGCAUUUGAAACUGGCAAACUAGAGUACUGUAGAGGGGGGUAGAAUUUCAGGUGUAGCGGUGAAAUGCGUAGAGAUCUGAAGGAAUACCGGUGGCGAAGGCGGCCCCCUGGACAGAUACUGACACUCAGAUGCGAAAGCGUGGGGAGCAAACAGGAUUAGAUACCCUGGUAG
This 466-nucleotide ribosomal RNA is filed under the name uncultured bacterium. RNAcentral describes it as "bacterial SSU rRNA". It matches the Rfam family "Bacterial small subunit ribosomal RNA", at positions 335 to 793 of the family's 1533-position model. The record is from RNAcentral.